GACGAACGCUGGCGGCGUGCCUAAUACAUGCAAGUAGAACGCUGAAGGAGGAUCUUGCUUCUCCGGAUGAGUUGCGAACGGGUGAGUAACGCGUAGGUAACCUGCCUGGUAGCGGGGGAUAACUAUUGGAAACGAUAGCUAAUACCGCAUAACAGUAGAUGUUGCAUGACAUUUGCUUAACAGGUGCAAUUGCUGCACUACCAGAUGGACCUGCGUUGUAUUAGCUAGUUGGUGGGGUAACGGCUCACCAAGGCGACGAUACAUAGCCGGCCGGAUAGGGGGGGCGGACACACAGGGACGGAGAGACGGACCAGACUCCUACGGGCGGCAGCCGGAGGGGAUCAUUGUCAAUAGACGGAAGUAUGACCGAGGCACGCAGGGUGAGUGAAGAAGGGUGUCCGACCGUAAAGCACUGUUUUAAGAGAAGAAAGAGUGUGUGAGUGGAAAGUGCACACGGUGACGGUAGCUGAACAGGAAGCGACGGCUAACUACGUG
This 495-nucleotide ribosomal RNA is filed under the name uncultured bacterium. Its description in RNAcentral is "partial 16S ribosomal RNA". It matches the Rfam family "Bacterial small subunit ribosomal RNA", at positions 28 to 507 of the family's 1533-position model. The record is from RNAcentral.